This 469-nucleotide ribosomal RNA is filed under the name uncultured bacterium. RNAcentral describes it as "partial 16S ribosomal RNA". It matches the Rfam family "Bacterial small subunit ribosomal RNA", at positions 28 to 507 of the family's 1533-position model. The record is from RNAcentral.
GACGAACGCUGGCGGCGUGCUUAACACAUGCAAGUCGAACGGAAAGGCCCUGCUUGCAGGGUGCUCGAGUGGCGAACGGGUGAGUAACACGUGGGUGAUCUGCCCCUUACUUUGGGAUAAGCCUGGGAAACUGGGUCUAAUACUGGCUAGGACCAUGCUGUAGGCGGUGUGGUGGAAAGAUUAGUUUCGGUAAGGGAUGGGCUCGCGGCCUAUCAGCUUGUUGGUGGGGUAAUGGCCUACCAAGGCGUCGACGGGUAGCCGGCCUGAGAGGGUGGACGGACACAUUGGGACUGAGAGACAGCCAAGACUCCUACGGGAGGCAGCAGUGGGGAAUAUUGCACAAUGGGAGCAAGCCUGAUGCAGCGACGCCGCGUGGGGGAUGACGGCCUUCGGGUUGUAAGCUCCUUGCAGCCAUGACGAAGCCCUUGUGGUGACGGUAGUGGUAGAAGAAGCACCGGCUAACUACGUG